GAUGAACGCUGGCGGCGUGCCUAAUACAUGCAAGUCGAGCGAACGGACGAGAAGCCUGCUUCUCUGAUGUUAGCGGCGGACGGGUGAGUAACACGUGGAUAACCUACCUAUAAGACUGGGAUAACUUCGGGAAACCGGAGCUAAUACCGGAUAAUAUUUUGAACCGCAUGGUUCAAAAGUGAAAGACGGUCUUGCUGUCACUUAUAGAUGGAUCCGCGCUGCAUUAGCUAGUUGGUAAGGUAACGGCUUACCAAGGCAACGAUGCAUAGCCGACCUGAGAGGGUGAUCGGCCACACUGGAACUGAGACACGGUCCAGACUCCUACGGGAGGCAGCAGUAGGGAAUCGUACGCAAUGGGCGAAAGCCUGACGGAGCAACGCCGCGUGAGUGAUGAAGGUCUUCGGAUCGUAAAACUCUGUUAUUAGGGAAGAACAUAUGUGUAAGUAACUGUGCACAUCUUGACGGUACCUAAUCAGAAAGCCACGGCUAACUACGUG
RNAcentral lists this ribosomal RNA (497 nucleotides) under uncultured bacterium. RNAcentral describes it as "partial 16S ribosomal RNA". It matches the Rfam family "Bacterial small subunit ribosomal RNA", at positions 28 to 507 of the family's 1533-position model. The record is from RNAcentral.